GACGAACGCUGGCGGCGUGCUUAACACAUGCAAGUCGAACGGAAAGGCCUCUUUCGGGGGGUACUCGAGUGGCGAACGGGUGAGUAACACGUGAGUAACCUGCCCUUGACUUUGGGAUAACUUCAGGAAACUGGGGCUAAUACCGGAUAGGAGCUCCUGCUGCAUGGUGGGGGUUGGAAAGUUUCGGCGGUUGGGGAUGGACUCGCGGCUUAUCAGCUUGUUGGUGGGGUAGUGGCUUACCAAGGCUUUGACGGGUAGCCGGCCUGAGAGGGUGACCGGCCACAAUGGGACUGGGAUACGGCCCAGACUCCUACGGGGGGCAGCAGUGGGGAAUAUUGCAAAAUGGGUGGAAGCCUGAUGCAGCAACGCCGUGUGCGGGAUGACGGCCUUCGGGUUGUAAACCGCUUUCGCUCAUGACGAAGCUUUGUGUGACGGUAGUGGGUAAAGAAGCACCGGCUAACUACGUG
Molecule: ribosomal RNA, 467 nt
Filed under: uncultured bacterium
Lineage: Bacteria
Description: partial 16S ribosomal RNA
Rfam family: Bacterial small subunit ribosomal RNA
Source: RNAcentral